Molecule: ribosomal RNA, 497 nt
Filed under: uncultured bacterium
Lineage: Bacteria
Description: partial 16S ribosomal RNA
Rfam family: Bacterial small subunit ribosomal RNA
Source: RNAcentral
GAUGAACGCUGGCGGCGUGCCUAAUACAUGCCAGUCGAGCGAACAGACGAGGAGCUUGCUCCUCUGACGUUAGCGGCGGACGGGUGAGUAACACGUGGAUAACCUACCUAUAAGACUGGGAUAACUUCGGGAAACCGGAGCUAAUACCGGAUAAUAUAUUGAACCGCAUGGUUCAAUAGUGAAAGACGGUUUUGCUGUCACUUAUAGAUGGAUCCGCGCCGCAUUAGCUAGUUGGUAAGGUAACGGCUUACCAAGGCAACGAUGCGUAGCCGACCUGAGAGGGUGAUCGGCCACACUGGAACUGAGACACGGUCCAGACUCCUACGGGAGGCAGCAGUAGGGAAUCUUCCGCAAUGGGCGAAAGCCUGACGGAGCAACGCCGCGUGAGUGAUGAAGGUCUUCGGAUCGUAAAACUCUGUUAUUAAGGAAGAACAAAUGUGUAAGUAACUAUGCACGUCUUGACGGUACCUAAUCAGAAAGCCACGGCUAACUACGUG